GGAUGAAGCCCAACCAAGAAAGCACAACCAAGAGGCCGAGAAUAAAGAACCCACACGCCACGAUCUGACCACUUGGAGCAUUGCAAAGUGAGACCUACCCCGGCAUUUUUCAGAGAAUCACAGAAGGACCCUCGCAGCCUCGGGAGUCUCCAAAGCAAGUUGCGUGAAAUAAUGUAGAGAAUAAACGAGCAGUUCGGAACUCCCUCGCUUCCCAAAAGACCUACACAAUUUCUUGCUGUUGGUGAAGUUCAUCAGGACUGAGAAAAACAGAGAGGCUCUAACCUUGGAAAGGAGGUGGUUGAAAGCUACAAGCGUUUGGAGUCCAGGAGAACGAACGCGUUGGCUCUCCUCUGUUUCAUCCGCUUGGGUGAAGGGAAGCGGAUGUUCCAGGUUGGACAAGAGACUGAAACAAGCUAAAGAAAGGCAGCCCCUUCUAUCCGGCCGCCUUCCCUACAUCUGUCCUCAGAAGUUCCCGCCCAGCACCUAACUUUCUAGGAUUCGAUACCUAUCGCCUGGUCAGCUCUGCUCUGCUCCAAGAAGCCAGGUUAGCGCUGGACCAAACAUGACGUGCGGAGGACUGAGUCGGGGCGUCUGUGUUACAGCAGCACAAUGUCCAGCCACGGGAACAGUCACUGCUGGGUGUCGGGGGCAGAGCCCAGAGCAGUAAUAUUCCAGAGCACGAUUGAUCUCCAGAGCAUUGCGGUGUAAUAGAAUCGCUGAGGGUCGCAGGUUCAGUUUGAACAGUACUAUCCGAUCCUAUCAGACCCAAUGCCCUCCCUUUGAUGACAAAUAUUGUGCAAUUCUCCCCUACAGCCUCCUAAAACGACAGGCACAAGUGUCUACCCAGAGUUUAUCUGGCCCACUCUAAUGUCCUCACAAUAGAUAAAGGAUAAAUAAAAGAGAAGUGGUUAUAAUAAAUUCAUACGUAUUUCAGCAGCUAGAAGACACAAGGGACUAGUCUGGUGCUUGUGCCUGGUCACGCAUUCACCCAAAUAGGACAACCGCCAAGCGGAAUUGAGUGUUGGUGACUCAGAUCCCACGAGCGGCAUUGUACUGGUGAAUAAUUCUCUGUCAGAUUCCAACCAAGCGUAAGUGUAAUCUUCCCUUCAUUUACAUAGAAGUAUCAAGUUGUAAAAGAUAAAUUGUGUUUAUAUGUAGAACAGA
Neofelis nebulosa (Clouded leopard) is the source of this 1164-nucleotide long non-coding RNA. RefSeq lists it as uncharacterized. The record is from RefSeq and is a predicted model, not a curated record. NCBI's taxonomy places the organism in Eukaryota, Metazoa, Chordata, Mammalia, Carnivora, Felidae. The transcript is spliced from 4 exons.